CACAUGCAAGUCGAACGGUAGCACAGAGAGCUUGCUCUCGGGUGACGAGUGGCGGACGGGUGAGUAAUGUCUGGGAAACUGCCUGAUGGAGGGGGAUAACUACUGGAAACGGUAGCUAAUACCGCAUAACGUCGCAAGACCAAAGAGGGGGACCUUCGGGCCUCUUGCCAUCAGAUGUGCCCAGAUGGGAUUAGCUAGUAGGUGGGGUAACGGCUCACCUAGGCGACGAUCCCUAGCUGGUCUGAGAGGAUGACCAGCCACACUGGAACUGAGACACGGUCCAGACUCCUACGGGAGGCAGCAGUGGGGAAUAUUGCACAAUGGGCGCAAGCCUGAUGCAGCCAUGCCGCGUGUGUGAAGAAGGCCUUCGGGUUGUAAAGCACUUUCAGCGGGGAGGAAGGGAGUAAGGUUAAUAACCUUGCUCAUUGACGUUACCCGCAGAAGAAGCACCGGCUAACUCCGUGCCAGCAGCCGCGGUAAUACGGAGGGUGCAAGCGUUAAUCGGAAUUACUGGGCGUAAAGCGCACGCAGGCGGUCUGUCAAGUCGGAUGUGAAAUCCCCGGGCUCAACCUGGGAACUGCAUCCGAAACUGGCAGGCUUGAGUCUCGUAGAGGGAGGUAGAAUUCCAGGUGUAGCGGUGAAAUGCGUAGAGAUCUGGAGGAAUACCGGUGGCGAAGGCGGCCUCCUGGACGAAGACUGACGCUCACGUG
RNAcentral lists this ribosomal RNA (710 nucleotides) under Enterobacter cloacae. RNAcentral describes it as "bacterial SSU rRNA". It matches the Rfam family "Bacterial small subunit ribosomal RNA", at positions 52 to 753 of the family's 1533-position model. The record is from RNAcentral. Lineage: Bacteria; Pseudomonadati; Pseudomonadota; Gammaproteobacteria; Enterobacterales; Enterobacteriaceae.